Long non-coding RNA from Homo sapiens (human), 1791 nucleotides. NCBI's taxonomy places the organism in Eukaryota, Metazoa, Chordata, Mammalia, Primates, Hominidae. The record is from Ensembl.
GACUCCAGUCCUGCUGGGAUCACGUCCGCCUCUAGAAAAACAGGUGGCGUAGCAGGUGGGCAGCACGUUGCCAUGAUGUGCCGUGGCCCGGCCGUGGCUGGCGUGAUCCCACCAGAGUGAGCUGGAGCAGAUCUGCACCAUGGGCCAAGUUUCUCAGAAAAUACAUAGCUUCCUGUGGGCUGCAGCCUAAUGCCCACGUUCCUCUCGGGGAAGACCAAAGGUUAUUCAACCAGGGCAAAGGACAGCCUUGCAAACCAACUACGUCCUCCUUCUGGAGUUUGUGUGACCCCUGGCCCCUGAGCCCACACCCUCUCGGAGCGGGGUUCCAACUCCGUGGAAGCUCUGCUGAGAUGCAGACAGGAAAAUAAGAAGGCAGAAGAUGGUCUGCAAAGGAUAAAAACAGGUGCAUCUAAGAAUGAGAAAAAUGGCUCAUGAAGAAAUGUGUAACUCUCCAAGAGAUGCAGACACUCUGCUCAGAGAAGUCAAGAACCAUAAACAACUCUUCAUGUUUCAUGGACAAAGGGAAGGCAAAGGCAUACAAAAAUACUCAGUUGUCUUGAAAAGUGUACUGGUAGUGAUCAGGGCUACAAAGGCGAGCCCUGUACUGACAAUGGAGGAGCCUUACAACUCAGCACCUUAAAUUGUUGGCCUGAAGUGGUGGCGGGGAGGGAGGCGCUGACGGAGAGACCCAUGGCUCACCACUUAUUGCGUGUACACAAGGCCUGGGGCAAGCCUCACAAGUCUACCAUUUCUUCCACUCAACUGUGCUUCUCCUGAAUCCAUGUGCCUGAAAUGACAUAUGCAAGAUGGCUUUGGAGGGGUGCAAAUGCUACGUGUUUGGAAGAGCAGAGGAGGCCUGCAGCUCUCAGUCACCUGUCUCCAUCUUCGGAGAAUGAAACAAGGUCCGAUGCACUAAAGAAAAUGUUACGUAUAUAUCAUGAGGAGCAUAAAGCCCCUUAACUCAGGCCUGAAACAGUCAAAUCAAAUGCCCAACUCAAAGCACUUGUUAAAGAACUGAGGAAAACUUUGCUCCUUCUGAAUGACAACACGGGCCACCGAGAAGAUACCUGCAACUAGGAGCAACUGCGAUAAAGCUUCACUUACGCAUGACUUCCAUGACCCGGUGGCGCAGAAAGGUGCGGCUGCUCUGGAGGGCUCCAAAACGUUUCAGGUCCAAUUCCCAAACGUUUUCUGAGGGAUAACCAUGUACCAUCCAUUCGGCAAGGUACCUAUAUAGACAGAGGGCACGUGUUGGGGCUCAGGUGUGAGAUUUGAGAAAAUUAAUAUUCUACAAAUCGAGAACAAACAGAAUCAAAAGAUCCUAAAUUGCCAUAGACCAGCUGAAUAGUUUUGGGCACUUUCCUUAACUUUUCUGGAAGAAACGAACAUGGGUCUGUGUACUGCUCUCAAAAGACUACUAUGAGGAUUUUACCCCAGAUGAUAAGAUUCCCUAGGAGGUAUUUAACAUAGAAGCCAGCCAGACACAUUGGCUGAUGCCUGUAAUCCCAGAACUUUGGGAGGCUGAGGCAGGAGAUUGCUUGAAGUCAGGAGUUUGAGACCAGCCUGGGCAACAUAGUAAGACCCCGUCUCUACAGAAAAAAAAAAGUUUCAAAGUGAGCCAGGUGGCUCACACCUGUAAUCCCAGCACUUUGGGAGGCCGAGGCAGACGGAUCACUUGAGGUCAGGAGUUCGAAACAAGCCUGACCAAUGUGGAGAAACCCUGUCUCUAUUAAAAAUACAAAAUUAGCCAGUGUGGUGGCACACGCCUGUAAUCCCAGCUACUACGGAGGC